GUAUUUGCAGGUGUUACACAUCCAUACUUCUGCAGAAUUGGCCCUCAUCUGUAGAGUUUGUACAUCUACGUUUGCACAGCGGUGCGCUGCCAACAGUGUUAAAAAUAACAGAGCAAGACUGACUUUGAUGACAGGAAAGCAACGUUUUCAUUGUAAAAGUAGAUUUCUGAUUCUGCGGUGAUCAGUUUAAGAAGAGGCAUGAAGAAGAUAAGCAGGACCCGCAUUAAAUUUUGGGAGCUGGUAAAAAGAGUUUCUGUUUCUGUUUGCAGAGUUAA
Non-coding RNA from Zonotrichia albicollis (white-throated sparrow), 275 nucleotides. Lineage: Eukaryota; Metazoa; Chordata; Aves; Passeriformes; Passerellidae. The record is from RefSeq and is a predicted model, not a curated record.